This is a long non-coding RNA of Erigeron canadensis, 1362 nucleotides long. RefSeq lists it as uncharacterized. Lineage: Eukaryota; Viridiplantae; Streptophyta; Magnoliopsida; Asterales; Asteraceae. The record is from RefSeq and is a predicted model, not a curated record. The transcript is spliced from 3 exons.
UAUAUUUCCUUCUCGGGAACUAAUGGCUAUAAAAUAUUCUUUAUAUCAUUUUCACCCAAAACAUUAAAUUUGGGGUUUUAAAACCUUGAUUUUAGGUUUUUCUUUUUUUCGUUCCAUCAUCUCCAUCUAAUAGCUUUGGGUUUAUUUUUUUCAUUAUGAUAAAUCUUCAUCAAUUAGAUGAAAAUAAAGGGUUAGCUUGGAUAAUUCACAUCGGGGUAGCAUCAGAUUAAAAUGGAAUCGGCUUACUAGUUGGGUCAGACUAAGGUUAAAUCAGCUUGAAGAUACUCAGAUUGGCUAGUACUUAGUAUUGAACCUGACCCGGCUUGAACCAAGGGUCAACUUACUAGACCACUCAGUUUGGAAAGAUGAAUCAGCUUGGGCUGUCAAAUUGAAGAUGAUCCAGCUUGAAAUUUUCAUCCAGAUAGGAAAUCUGUCUUUUAUGGGUUAGCAAACAAUUUGAAGCAUGUGCCAGUGUAUUGAGAAACAACUAGCCUGAAACUAUUCAGCCAUUCAAGUCAAGGAAAAGCUCGUUGGUCUUAUUAGUAACUUGUGAUGGGUUAGUGAACUGGUGAGUGCACUUCAGUGCAACAACAAGUGUUUAAACCAGAAAUUAGACUAGCAAGUAUUUAGACCAGAAAUUAACACUCUAGCGAACAAGUUCCAUCAACAACCAACAAAUAAUAAUAACAAACUCAUUCAUAGUUCAACUACAGCUUGAAGUGAAUGAAAAUCAGCCCAGGUAUAUUUAGUCAGCUUGCAUAUAUGUAAGCUCGGGUAUGAGUCAUCUUUGGCUCUCAGUCGGCUUGGAUGACUCUAACUUAGCUUGAGAAGUAAUCUGCUGACAAAAAAUUCUGACUCGUUCUACUUAGCUUAUUUUUGCAAGGUCAGAUUGAAAUGCCCAGAUUCGGAUUGACUCAGUUUGGAGUUGUAUCAGCUUAUAAGAUGGAUCAGAUUCAGAUUGAAUCAGCUUAGGUCAAGGGUUAGCUUACAAGACCAAUCAGCUUGAAGUGAGUAAGUUGUGCCCAGAUUGGAGAAAUCAGUUUGGAGCCGUAUCAACUUAUAAGUUGGAUCAGAUUCGGAUUGACUCAGCUUAGGUCAAGGGUUAGCUUACAAGACCAAUCAGCUUGAAGUUUUUUUUCUCUCUUUUUUUUAGAACGGCACAAUCAGCUUGAAGUGAGUAAGCUUGUGCACCUGAUUGAAGCUAUUUCAACUUGUGAUUUCUAGCACUUAUUCUUUUCUUAUAUGUUUUCAACGAUGGACUGGAGAUACGUGUUCAACAUGUGAUUAUCGUUGUUCUAGAUGUUUCCGCAUAUCCUUAUGAGAUACAUCUUUUAUAUAUUUGUCCGAUUGAUUAUUUUUUUA